GCUGUCUCCGCCGUCCCCGCCGCCUUCCAGGCCGUCUUCGCCGCCGUCCCCGCUCUCUUCGCCGCUGUCCCCGCCAUCCCGGCCGUCCUCGCCACCUUCUCCGCCUUCUCCAGAGUCCUCACCGCCUUCUUCUCCGCGCCCAUGGCCCGCGCCGCCCCCCGCGUCCCCCGGCUCCUGCGGGCCGCGCUGCUGCUGCUGCUCCUGGUCGCCGCCGGCCGCCAAGCAGCAGGUGGGACCCGCGCCCUGCGACGGGGCGGGCGGGCUCCGGGGCGCCCCGCGGGGACAGCGCCGCUGACCGGUCCUUUCCCCGCAGGGGCGCCCGUGGUCGCCGAGCUGCGCUGCCAGUGCCUGCAGACCGUGCAGGGCAUUCACCUCAAGAACAUCCAGAGUGUGAAGGUGACGCCCCCGGGCCCCCACUGCGCCCAGACCGAAGUCGUAGCCCAGCUCAAGAACGGGCAGGAGGCUUGUCUCAACCCCGCGGCCCCCAUGGUCAAGAGGAUCAUUGAGAAGAUGCUGGACAGGUGAGCGCGGGUUUGGUCUGCACCGGGACGGCCUGGCACAGAUCUGGCCUCUGCCCCGGGCCUAUCAGUGCGUGUGUUUUAGGGAAACCCAGGGGUGAGCUGAAGGACUGACAGGCCUUAGUUACUUCGUGGUGAAAUUUGCCGUUAAGGUCAUGGACUAGCUGGUGCCAGAGCGCGUUCGAGCGUCCUCCUCCCCCCGACCCCCCACACCCUGUUCGGAUGAGGGAGGGCGAAUGCGUGUCCGGGAAAAUGAAGGGGAGCUGGCUGUUGGGGGCUCAUUCCCUCCUGGGCCUUCAGACCUGAGAACUGGAAACUCUGGUUUGGGGCAAGUUGGGGCUUCAGGUCUUCUUGAAGAGCAAGUUAUUGGGAUGAGACCCCUGCAGCUCUAGGCGAGGACUCUGCCACAUAGUUGUAUUUUGAACCUCCGCAGAACAGAGGAGGUAAAGGCAGCUGUUUCAUUGGGUGCUGGAGGGCUUCAGUGAGGUCAAGCGUGUAAAUUUGAACCUGGAACAGACAAUCACAGAGCAGAAUGUUUCAGCUCCUUCAAGCCUGAAAUCUAGUUGCAGCCACAGGCCCCUUUCCCUCAGUUCAAAGCAUUCAGCAGCCCAGGUUUCUGGCUACACCGGGAGUGGGUACAGCCAGGGGUGCCCUGAGUGGAGGGCUCGCCAGGAGUGUGCGCGCAGCCCCGGCAGAGCCUCAGCGGCCAGUGCGGGGAAGAGCGGCCUUCCUGAGAUCUGCAACAGGAGCCUUUUCUCUCCCUAGGAGGAGC
RNA transcript from Nycticebus coucang (slow loris), 1290 nucleotides. It is a transcript of the gene named growth-regulated protein homolog gamma-like, with no coding region annotated. The transcript is spliced from 3 exons. The record is from RefSeq and is a predicted model, not a curated record. NCBI's taxonomy places the organism in Eukaryota, Metazoa, Chordata, Mammalia, Primates, Lorisidae.